Molecule: ribosomal RNA, 119 nt
Filed under: Triticum aestivum (bread wheat)
Lineage: Eukaryota; Viridiplantae; Streptophyta; Magnoliopsida; Poales; Poaceae
Source: RNAcentral
GGAUGCGAUCAUACCAGCACUAAAGCACCGGAUCCCAUCAGAACUCCGAAGUUAAGCUUGCUUGGGCGAGAGUAGUACUAGGAUGGGUGACCUCCUGGGAAGUCCUCGGGUUGCAUUCC